UUUUUGGUGGCCGAGUGGUUUAAGGCGGCAAUUUUGAAAAUUGUUAUGAAUUAUAUUUAUCGUAGGUUCGAAUCCUACCCAAUAAG
Molecule: transfer RNA, 86 nt
Filed under: Phymatolithon calcareum
Lineage: Eukaryota; Rhodophyta; Florideophyceae; Hapalidiales; Hapalidiaceae
Description: tRNA-Ser
Rfam family: tRNA
About the family: Transfer RNA (tRNA) molecules are approximately 80 nucleotides in length. Their secondary structure includes four short double-helical elements and three loops (D, anti-codon, and T loops).
Source: RNAcentral